This 460-nucleotide ribosomal RNA is filed under the name uncultured bacterium. RNAcentral's name for it is "partial 16S ribosomal RNA". It matches the Rfam family "Bacterial small subunit ribosomal RNA", at positions 338 to 795 of the family's 1533-position model. The record is from RNAcentral.
CCUACGGGUGGCAGCAGUGAGGAAUAUUGGUCAAUGGACGAGAGUCUGAACCAGCCAAGUAGCGUGAAGGAUGACUGCCCUAUGGGUUGUAAACUUCUUUUAUAUGGGGAUAAAACAGGGUAUGCAUACCCUCUUGUAUGUACCAUAUGAAUAAGGAUCGGCUAACUCCGUGCCAGCAGCCGCGGUAAUACGGAGGAUCCGAGCGUUAUCCGGAUUUAUUGGGUUUAAAGGGAGCGUAGGCGGCUUGUUAAGUGAGUUGUGAAAGUUUGCGGCUCAACCGUAAAAUUGCAGUUGAAACUGGGAGUCUUGAGUACAGGAGAGGUGGGCGGAAUUCGUGGUGUAGCGGUGAAAUGCUUAGAUAUCACGAAGAACUCCGAUUGCGAAGGCAGCUUACUGGACUGCAACUGACACUGAUGCUCGAAAGUGUGGGUAUCAAACAGGAUUAGAUACCCUGGUAGUC